UAACAAUCACACAUAGGAUAACAUCAAUUCUUGAUAUCAAUAUGGUUCUCCUCCUCGAUAAUGGUCAUAUAUUAGAGUAAGAUUCCCCAGCCAAAUUGCUAGAGAUCAAGUCCUCGUCAUUUGCAAAGCUUGUUAAGGAGUAUACUCGAAGAUGUAGCUCUUAGUUUUUGAAAGAGUAAAUGAGUAAGUUUUGAAUGGUCAUGUGUAAACAUGUUGCAUUAGAUUGAGGUGGAUUGAUUUUUUGAGUAUAACAAAAAUUUGUUGGGAGAA
Molecule: long non-coding RNA, 270 nt
Organism: Telopea speciosissima
Lineage: Eukaryota; Viridiplantae; Streptophyta; Magnoliopsida; Proteales; Proteaceae
Exons: 2
Source: RefSeq, a predicted model, not a curated record